ACGCACACGGGCUUGAGUUGCAAGGCGUGCACUCCGGGUUGAGCCCCGGCCAUCUGGGCUCAUCUGGGCUCCGGGCGGCCCGGGCGAGCGCGGCAGGGACUGGGGACCGUGCGCGGGGCGCGGGGCGCGGGGCGCGGGCUCCUUUCUCUGCUCCGGAGGCGCUCGACUCUGCUCCCCGCCGGCCUCCCCGGCCUCCCGGCCUCCGCACCUCCCUCCGGCGCCGCUCAGCAGGCAGAGCGCGCGGGGGCGCAGCGCCCGGCCAUGCCCCGGGCGGGACGCGAGGUCUGGAGCCCGCGGUGGAUGAGGAGCCUCGGAAGGCGAAGAGAAGCCGAGCCGGUCAGCCGAGGCUGCCAGUCGCGGCGGAUUCUGCUCCUCCGCCGCCGCCGCCUCAAAGCGCACCAUUCAGCACAUCCUCUAUACACAGAGGGAGAGAGCGAGUGACACACGCCCGGCGCCCCCCCUAACCGCUCUUUUCCCUCCUCCCUCCUCCUCCCCCCCGCCCCCCUUCCCCGCCACCCUCGCUCGCUGGGUCCUUCCUUCCCCCCGCGGCUCCCAGCC
RNAcentral lists this long non-coding RNA (558 nucleotides) under Homo sapiens (human). RNAcentral's name for it is "non-protein coding lnc-TMX4-4:1". The record is from RNAcentral. Lineage: Eukaryota; Metazoa; Chordata; Mammalia; Primates; Hominidae.